Molecule: transfer RNA, 75 nt
Filed under: Anaerolineae bacterium
Lineage: Bacteria; Bacillati; Chloroflexota; Anaerolineae
Description: tRNA-Gln
Rfam family: tRNA
About the family: Transfer RNA (tRNA) molecules are approximately 80 nucleotides in length. Their secondary structure includes four short double-helical elements and three loops (D, anti-codon, and T loops).
Source: RNAcentral
UGGGGGAUAGUUUAAUCGGCAGAACAGCGGACUCUGGAUCCGUGGGUCGGGGUUCGAAUCCCUGUCCCCCAGCCU